AGAACCGCUAGCAGCCGACUCCUCUUCAUCGCUAUGACAAUAAAAAACACAUUUUCUAUCAGUUAACUUUUUUUCCCAAUAAUUUCUGCUUUGAUUUUUAGGAAAACUGUAAAUUACUUCACAGACCCUGUGACCAGUGGGACCAAAACAGAUGGACAGGGUCUGCCCGACAGAUCUGGAGGUUAAAGCAGUCGCUUCACCUGGCGUGACCUCUUCCUGCAGGAGGGCUGAAUACUUCCUGACUGGCUGACACUGAUGACAGACUAUCAGCCAAUAAUUAAAGAGUUUAUGGU
Molecule: long non-coding RNA, 293 nt
Organism: Oreochromis niloticus (Nile tilapia)
Lineage: Eukaryota; Metazoa; Chordata; Actinopteri; Cichliformes; Cichlidae
Exons: 3
Source: RefSeq, a predicted model, not a curated record